RNAcentral lists this ribosomal RNA (468 nucleotides) under uncultured bacterium. Its description in RNAcentral is "partial 16S ribosomal RNA". It matches the Rfam family "Bacterial small subunit ribosomal RNA", at positions 28 to 507 of the family's 1533-position model. The record is from RNAcentral.
GACGAACGCUGGCGGCGUGCUUAACACAUGCAAGUCGAACGGAAAGACCCUGCUUUUGUGGGGUGCUCGAGUGGCGAACGGGUGAGUAACACGUGAGUAACCUGCCCUUGACUUUGGGAUAACUUCAGGAAACUGGGGCUAAUACCGGAUAGGAGCUCCUGCUGCAUGGUGGGGGUUGGAAAGUUUCGGCGGUUGGGGAUGGACUCGCGGCUUAUCAGCUUGUUGGUGGGGUAGUGGCUUACCAAGGCUUUGACGGGUAGCCGGCCUGAGAGGGUGACCGGCCACAUUGGGACUGAGAUACGGCCCAGACUCCUACGGGAGGCAGCAGUGGGGAAUAUUGCACAAUGGGCGGAAGCCUGAUGCAGCAACGCCGCGUGCGGGAUGACGGCCUUCGGGUUGUAAACCGCUUUCGCCUGUGACGAAGCGUGAGUGAUGGUAAUGGGUAAAGAAGCACCGGCUAACUACGUG